AGUGAACGCUGGCGGUAGGCCUAACACAUGCAAGUCGAACGGCAGCACAGUAAGAGCUUGCUCUUACGGGUGGCGAGUGGCGGACGGGUGAGGAAUACAUCGGAAUCUACUUGUUCGUGGGGAAUAAGUACGGGAACCUUACCCUAAACCCCCUACGGACCAAGGGGGAAAAUCGGGGGACCUUGGACCCUUGGCGAGUGCAAUGGCCGAUUUUGGAUUAGGUAGUUGGCGGGGUAAAGGCCCACCAAGGCGACGAUCCGUAGCUGGUCUGAGAGGAUGAUCAGCCACACUGGAACUGAGACACGGUCCAGACUCCUACGGGAGGCAGCAGUGGGGAAUAUUGGACAAUGGGCGAAAGCCUGAUCCAGCCAUACCGCGUGGGUGAAGAAGGCCUUCGGGUUGUAAAGCCCUUUUGUUGGGAAAGAAAAGCAGCAGGUUAAUACCCCGCUGUUCUGACGGUACCCAAAGAAUAAGCACCGGCUAACUUCGUG
This 491-nucleotide ribosomal RNA is filed under the name uncultured bacterium. RNAcentral describes it as "partial 16S ribosomal RNA". It matches the Rfam family "Bacterial small subunit ribosomal RNA", at positions 29 to 507 of the family's 1533-position model. The record is from RNAcentral.